CGGCCUGUGUAAGGUGAUAGUGGAACUGUGCGUGCUAUCCCUUAGUCGCCUCUUACGACACCCACGGAAAGAGAGAGGGUGGCUAUAUUCUUAAAUUGCUGUAACAACACAGCAUAAAUUUAAUUUGAUAUUAUUUUAAGACAAAUAUGGAAGUUUAACCCUACUGACUUCUGUGUGUAUGAUGACACUUAACCCUACAAAAUUCUAGUAUUCAAUAAUUGUAUUUAAAAAACCCAUUUAUUUUCCCAAUACUUAAGAAUAAUUGUAAUGGUACUUGAAAUUGGUUUUACGCUACUAACAUACUGCUAACAUAAUCAUAUUUUUUUACUGGAGUUUCUCUAAUAUAAAAAAACAUACGAGGCACAAUCAAUACCUACUAAAGUUGAAAAGCUUGCGUGUUUCUUUGUUUAAACGCGCGCAUUUAUUGUGAAACCGCGGGUCACAGCUAAUAUUUAAAUAUACAAGUACGUCGCAUUCUUUACAUUUUCGUAUUGACUAAGGUUUAUUAAGAUCAUAAAAUAUACAACCAUAUAAAAUAGUAUAAAAUUAAAAUACCUAAAAAGAUCACGUGUCCGGUAUUAGUGCAUCGAGUGACUGAUUACAUCAUACAUCACGAUAAAGACUCCUCUGAUAAACUAUGACAUGCUCUUAAUAACGCGUUUUGUUUAUAAAAUCGUUUCGAUCAUAAUAUUCAUAAUGAUGCUAUAAAUAAAUAUAUCGUAAUAUGUUUAAACAUUGUUAUUUUAUCAUUAAAACAAUUUAAUGUCUCAAAAUUACAAGUAAACCAACCCAAGUAAAUUCCUUAAGGGUAAAAUAUAAAAAGAACAUCUUAGGUUGCCGUAAUUAAUGUUUAAUUUAUCUAUACUAAUAUUAUAAAGAGGAAAGAUUUGAUUGUUUGUUUGUUUGCAUUGAAUAGGCUCCGAAACUUCUAAACCGAUUUGGAAAUUCUUUCGCUGUUGGGAAGUUACACUGUCCGCGGGUAACAUACGCUAUAUUAUAUUUUCAAAAAUAAUAGGGGAAAAAAUAUUUAAAAAUUUAAUUUUGUUAAACACCCGUGCGAAGUUGGGGCAGGAUGCUAGUCACAUAUUAUAAGAGGCUUGAACAAGGGUAAUAUUUAAAUGUUUUCUACUCAUUUAAUGAUAAGGAUUUAUUUUAUAAAUUGUAUUUCUUGGCUUUAUUUGCAACGGCUAUUGUGGCUAAUAAUGAUUCCUCUAUUAUUAUCUGUGUCUGCCGCGUCUAGUCACUCGUCACAGUAUCAAUUGUAAACUACUAUGCUUUCAAAGAUCACUACACAAACCUAAUACUCACUAAUUAUAAUUAAUCUUAAAUCUAACACUUUUAUUAACUUAGGUUUUAAUUUUAUGGGUUUUCCAUAACAACUUUUCAUGACAUUAUAUACACAUAGGUACACAUUAAACAGGCAUCCGUAAACGCGUUCCUAGCUCACUCACUAUUCAAAGCUAAAUUCCUAAAAUGAAAAUGACCGAGAACUUUAAAACUCCAGUGACGGCCAGCAAAGUCUUAAUAACU
RNAcentral lists this unclassified non-coding RNA (1530 nucleotides) under Melitaea cinxia (Glanville fritillary). RNAcentral's name for it is "misc RNA ENSMCXG00005016584.1". The record is from RNAcentral. Lineage: Eukaryota; Metazoa; Arthropoda; Insecta; Lepidoptera; Nymphalidae.